AUUGAACGCUGGCGGCAUGCCUUACACAUGCAAGUCGAACGGCAGCACGGGUGCCUGCACCUGGUGGCGAGUGGCGAACGGGUGAGUAAUAUAUCGGAACGUACCUUAUUGUGGGGGAUAACGCAGCGAAAGCUGUGCUAAUACCGCAUAAUCCCUAAGGGGGAAAGCGGGGGACCGUAAGGCCUCGCGCAAUUAGAGCGGCCGAUACCUGAUUAGCUAGUUGGUGAGGUAAAGGCUCACCAAGGCAACGAUCAGUAGCUGGUCUGAGAGGACGAUCAGCCACACUGGGACUGAGACACGGCCCAGACUCCUACGGGAGGCAGCAGUGGGGGAAUUUUGGACAAUGGGGGCAACCCUGAUCCAGCAAUGCCGCGUGAGUGAAGAAGGCCUUCGGGUUGUAAAGCUCUUUUGUCAGGGAAGAAACAGCAGCUCUAACACAGUAUGCGAAUGACGGUACCUGAAGAAUAAGCACCGGCUAACUACGUGCCAGCAGCCGCAGUAA
RNAcentral lists this ribosomal RNA (502 nucleotides) under uncultured bacterium. RNAcentral describes it as "partial 16S ribosomal RNA". It matches the Rfam family "Bacterial small subunit ribosomal RNA", at positions 30 to 523 of the family's 1533-position model. The record is from RNAcentral.